RNAcentral lists this ribosomal RNA (456 nucleotides) under uncultured bacterium. RNAcentral describes it as "bacterial SSU rRNA". It matches the Rfam family "Bacterial small subunit ribosomal RNA", at positions 1036 to 1498 of the family's 1533-position model. The record is from RNAcentral.
AGGUGCUGCACGGCUGUCGUCAGCUCGUGUCGUGAGAUGUUGGGUUAAGUCCCGCAACGAGCGCAACCCUCGUGUUUAGUUACUAACAGUUCGGCUGAGGACUCUAGACAGACUGCCUGGGUAACCAGGAGGAAGGUGAGGACGACGUCAAGUCAUCAUGGCCCUUACGGCCAGGGCUACACACGUGCUACAAUGGGGUAUACAAAGAGCCGCAAUACCGUGAGGUGGAGCAAAUCUCAUAAAAUAUCUCCCAGUUCGGAUAGCAGUCUGCAACUCGACUGCUUGAAGUUGGAAUCGCUAGUAAUCGUAGAUCAGCAAUGCUACGGUGAAUACGUUCCCGGGUCUUGUACUCACCGCCCGUCACACCAUGGGAAUUGAAUUCAUUCGAAGCGGGGAUGCUAAAAUAGCUACCUUCCACAGUGGAUUUAGUAACUAGGGUGAAGUCGUAACAAGGUA